Molecule: ribosomal RNA, 478 nt
Filed under: uncultured bacterium
Lineage: Bacteria
Description: partial 16S ribosomal RNA
Rfam family: Bacterial small subunit ribosomal RNA
Source: RNAcentral
GACGAACGCUGGCGGCGUGCUUAACACAUGCAAGUCGAACGGUAAGGCCCUUCGGGGUACACGAGUGGCGAACGGGUGAGUAACACGUGGGUGACCUGCCCUGCACUUCGGGAUAAGCCUGGGAAACUGGGUCUAAUACCGGAUAGGACUCCGGACUGCAUGGUCGGGGGUGGAGAGCUUUUGCGGUGUGGGAUGGGCCCGCGGCCUAUCAGCUUGUUGGGGGGGUGAUGGCCUACCAAGGCGACGACGGGUAGCCGGCCUGGGAGGGUGACCGGCCACACUGGGACUGAGAUACGGCCCAGACUCCUACGGGAGGCAGCAGUGGGGAAUAUUGCACAAUGGGCGCAGGCCUGAUGCAGCGACGCCGCGUGAGGGAUGACGGCCUUCGGGUUGUAAACCUCUUUCAGCAUCGACGAAGCGAAAGUGACGGUAGGUGCAGAAGAAGGACCGGCCAACUACGUGCCAGCCGCCGCCGUAA